RNAcentral lists this ribosomal RNA (546 nucleotides) under Trichotropis bicarinata. RNAcentral's name for it is "partial 12S ribosomal RNA". Lineage: Eukaryota; Metazoa; Mollusca; Gastropoda; Littorinimorpha; Trichotropidae. The record is from RNAcentral.
CAAGAAAUCAAGUUAUACAAAUAAGGUAAAAAAGGCAGUUAUGUAUUUGUAUCAUGGCUUUCUAAUCUAUAUUGUGGGUGUAUAACCCUAGCAAAUAAAGAUAAUUUUGGGAAAGCACAUAUAUUGAAUCUGCGAAAAUCUUGAGGGAAACUAGGACUAGAUACCCUAUUAUUCUUGAUUUUAAAUCAAUAAAAUUUACCGGAGUACUACGAAUACUAAAAAUUUAAAACUCAAAGGGCUUGGCGGUGUUCUAGACCUUUCAGGGGAACCUGUCUCAUAAUCGACAAUCCACGCUAGACCUAACCUUUUUUUGUAUUCAGUCUGUAUACCGUUGUCGUCAGGUAACUUUUAAAAAUUUAGAAGUUGGCAGCUUAACUUAUAAGUUAAAACGUCAAAUCAAGGUGCAACUAAUAAAAAGGUGAGGAUGGGUUACAAUUAAUAAUUAUAAUAACGGAAAAGUAAAAUAAAAAUUACUUUAGAAGGAGGACUUGAAAGUAAAAUAAAUUAUAUAAACAAUUUGAAUUUGGCUCUGGAACGUGCACACAU